UCGAGUCUUUGAACGCAAGUUGCGCCCGAGGCCAACCGGCCGAGGGCACGUCCGCCUGGGCGUCAAGCGUUGCGUCGCUCCGUGCCACGAGGCCCGGAUGCGCAGAGUGGCUCGUCGUGCCGACCGGCGCG
Molecule: ribosomal RNA, 131 nt
Filed under: Aeranthes grandiflora
Lineage: Eukaryota; Viridiplantae; Streptophyta; Magnoliopsida; Asparagales; Orchidaceae
Description: 5.8S ribosomal RNA
Source: RNAcentral